RNAcentral lists this ribosomal RNA (450 nucleotides) under uncultured bacterium. Its description in RNAcentral is "partial 16S ribosomal RNA". It matches the Rfam family "Bacterial small subunit ribosomal RNA", at positions 354 to 796 of the family's 1533-position model. The record is from RNAcentral.
GUGGGGAAUAUUCCGCAAUGGACGAAAGUCUGACGGAGCAACGUCGCGUGAGUGAUGAAGGUUUUCGGACUGUAAAGCUCUGUUGUUUAGGACGAAAGUGCCUGUUGCAAAUAGUUACAGGUAUUGACGGUACUGAACGAGGAAGCCACGGCUAACUACGUGCCAGCAGCCGCGGUAAUACGUAGGUGGCAAGCGUUGUCCGGAAUUAUUGGGCGUAAAGAGCAUGUAGGCGGGAAUCUAAGUCUGUUGUGAAAAUGCGGGGCUCAACCCCGUAUUGCGAUGGAAACUGGGUUUCUUGAGUGCAGGAGAGGAAAGGGGAAUUCCCAGUGUAGCGGUGAAAUGCGUAGAUAUUGGGAGGAACACCAGUGGCGAAGGCGCCUUUCUGGACUGUGUCUGACGCUGAGAUGCGAAAGCCAGGGUAGCGAACGGGAUUAGAUACCCCGGUAGUCC